GACGAACGCUGGCGGCGUGCUUAACACAUGCAAGUCGAACGGAAAGGCCCUGCUUUUGUGGGGUGCUCGAGUGGCGAACGGGUGAGUAACACGUGAGUAACCUGCCCUUGACUUUGGGAUAACUUCAGGAAACUGGGGCUAAUACCGGAUAGGAGCUCCUGCUGCAUGGUGGGGGCUGGAAAGUUUCGGCGGUUGGGGAUGGACUCGCGGCUUAUCAGCUUGUUGGUGGGGUAGUGGCUUACCAAGGCUUUGACGGGUAGCCGGCCUGAGAGGGUGACCGGCCACAUUGGGACUGAGAUGCGGCCCAGACUCCUACGGGAGGCAGCAGUGGGGAAUAUUGCACAAUGGGCGGAAGCCUGAUGCAGCAACGCCGCGUGGGGGAUGACGGCCUUCGGGUUGUAAACCGCUUGCGCCUGUGACGAAGCGUGAGUGACGGUAAUGGGUAAAGAAGCACCGGCUAACUACGUG
RNAcentral lists this ribosomal RNA (468 nucleotides) under uncultured bacterium. RNAcentral's name for it is "partial 16S ribosomal RNA". It matches the Rfam family "Bacterial small subunit ribosomal RNA", at positions 28 to 507 of the family's 1533-position model. The record is from RNAcentral.